This is a long non-coding RNA of Mastomys coucha (southern multimammate mouse), 782 nucleotides long. RefSeq lists it as uncharacterized. The record is from RefSeq and is a predicted model, not a curated record. The transcript is spliced from 3 exons. Lineage: Eukaryota; Metazoa; Chordata; Mammalia; Rodentia; Muridae.
UUAACAAUGUGCUUCUAGACUCUUGCCACCCAAAAGGGUCACCUGCUGCCUGAGUGACUUUCGAUUGGUGCACUGAGCAGAGGCACACGGAGCCUUCAGAAGCUGGAGUCCUGCCAAAUCUCAACAGACAGCAGAAAUGAGAGGCAGAAAUUCUGUAAGUGAAAUCUCUAUGGCACUCGGCGCCAGCACCUCCACUGUUCCCUCACUUUUCUUGUUUUGGGCACAUUAAACAGGCUCUACCCUGACCCACGUUCUGACUCCUAUAACAAGAGCUCCUGUCUCAGCGUGAAAAAUUUACUGUCGCCUCUACUUCUCAUUGAGCUGGAGUGAGGACUUCUGUCACCUUCAGUGAGCUGAGUCCAGAGAUUUAACUAAACAACAGUUCCAAUUUAAAAACCACCUUAGUGUGUUUUCCAUAAAGCGGGUGGCAUUCGGAGGCAUCUGUUUCCAAAUGGCACAGUUGUCUACAAAGUGAACUCUUUGUGCUACGUUUAAUUCAGAGCAACACCGAGGCCCCAAAACUCACUUAUUGAUGUGGCGCCACGAAGAACAUGAAGCGCUCAUUAAUACUACAGACUUGGAGGGCUAUGUGUUUAUUAUUGGUAGCCAUUAGAAGCCUGAAGAUGAUGGGGUACUUAAGUCAUUUUGAAGGUUACUUGAAAAUAGAAAUUCCAACUACCCAAUGAAAAAUAUUGUCCCUCAUAGGUACUGGCUAAAUCCUUCCAUGUUUAGCCUCAGAAAUACAAAAGCAUGCAAACACACAAUAAAGACAUCAGAUUAAA